UACGGAGGGGGCUAGCGUUGUUCGGAAUUACUGGGCGUAAAGCGCACGUAGGCGGCUUUGUAAGUUAGAGGUGAAAGCCCGGGGCUCAACCCCAGAAUUGCCUUUAAGACUGCAUCGCUUGAAUCCAGGAGAGGUGAGUGGAAUUCCGAGUGUAGAGGUGAAAUUCGUAGAUAUUCGGAAGAACACCAGUGGCGAAGGCGGCUCACUGGACUGGUAUUGACGCUGAGGUGCGAAAGCGUGGGGAGCAAACAGG
This 253-nucleotide ribosomal RNA is filed under the name uncultured bacterium. RNAcentral's name for it is "partial 16S ribosomal RNA". It matches the Rfam family "Bacterial small subunit ribosomal RNA", at positions 524 to 776 of the family's 1533-position model. The record is from RNAcentral.